This 458-nucleotide ribosomal RNA is filed under the name uncultured bacterium. RNAcentral's name for it is "bacterial SSU rRNA". It matches the Rfam family "Bacterial small subunit ribosomal RNA", at positions 923 to 1379 of the family's 1533-position model. The record is from RNAcentral.
GCACAAGCGGUGGAGCAUGUGGUUUAAUUCGACGCAACGCGCAGAACCUUACCAGCCCUUGACAUCCCGGUCGCGGAGAGCAGAGACGCACUCCUUCAGUUCGGCUGGACCGGAGACAGGUGCUGCAUGGCUGUCGUCAGCUCGUGUCGUGAGAUGUUGGGUUAAGUCCCGCAACGAGCGCAACCCUCGCCCUUAGUUGCCAUCAUUCAGUUGGGCACUCUAAGGGGACUGCCGGUGAUAAGCCGGAGGAAGGUGGGGAUGACGUCAAGUCCUCAUGGCCCUUACGGGCUGGGCUACACACGUGCUACAAUGGCGGUGACAGAGGGAUGCAAAGGGGCGACCCUUCGCAAAUCUCAAAAAGCCGUCUCAGUUCGGAUUGGGGUCUGCAACUCGACCCCAUGAAGUUGGAAUCGCUAGUAAUCGCAGAUCAGCACGCUGCGGUGAAUACGUUCCCGGGC